CUUGAGGGAGCCCAGCCACAGCGGCUGGUCGCCGUCGCGCUCCUGCCCGUACGUGGCGAGCAGGGCCUGCGCCUC
This 75-nucleotide antisense RNA is filed under the name Streptomyces sp. 3211.6. RNAcentral's name for it is "ASpks TB sRNA". It matches the Rfam family "ASpks TB sRNA". RNAcentral also lists the same sequence under 1 other name. Lineage: Bacteria; Bacillati; Actinomycetota; Actinomycetes; Kitasatosporales; Streptomycetaceae. The record is from RNAcentral.